AAUAGAGCGGGAAUCGAGAUAAGAUCGGAUCCUAGACUAGUAACCAAAAGAGAUCGGAUAUCGCCAGCCAAAGAGUUCUGACAAGGCGAUCGCAUAGGAGAUUGGCGAAAAGUUCGGUCUUGUAUCCAUCCUCUAGUUAUAAGGCAUCAGUGGGUUAAGAAAAGCAUUGUGCGAGUUUCUGGCGCCUUCAAGCGCCAGAAUCCUUAGUUCAAGGUCCUUACGGUAUGCGAUCAUAACAUACACUCUAAGAGAUCGGGAGAGAGUUCUUACCUGAAUUCUCUUAGUCCAAUCCAAACUAAAAUAUCACAACUUCAAUGUUCGAAUUAACCCCCAACAAAAACCCAUUAUACAACACUUAUUCACUAACGGGUUAUCUCAUGUACUCGUGUUUUUAGGCAACCCAAAAUAGUGAAACAUCAAAUAUCCCUGUUAUCUGCACAAAGGAUUAACAUUAUCUUUCCACCCCUUAAUUAUCAAUUUUAAUUUAUAAAGAGCACAAU
RNAcentral lists this unclassified non-coding RNA (500 nucleotides) under Hevea brasiliensis (rubber tree). The record is from RNAcentral. Lineage: Eukaryota; Viridiplantae; Streptophyta; Magnoliopsida; Malpighiales; Euphorbiaceae.